This 497-nucleotide ribosomal RNA is filed under the name uncultured bacterium. Its description in RNAcentral is "partial 16S ribosomal RNA". It matches the Rfam family "Bacterial small subunit ribosomal RNA", at positions 28 to 507 of the family's 1533-position model. The record is from RNAcentral.
GAUGAACGCUGGCGGCGUGCCUAAUACAUGCAAGUCGAGCGAACAGACGAGGAGCUUGCUCCUCUGACGUUAGCGGCGGACGGGUGAGUAACACGUGGAUAACCUACCUAUAAGACUGGGAUAACUUCGGGAAACCGGAGCUAAUACCGGAUAAUAUAUUGAACCGCAUGGUUCAAUAGUGAAAGACGGUUUUGCUGUCACUUAUAGAUGGAUCCGCGCCGCAUUAGCUAGUUGGUAAGGUAACGGCUUACCAAGGCAACGAUGCGUAGCCGACCUGAGAGGGUGAUCGGCCACACUGGAACUGAGACACGGUCCAGACUCCUACGGGAGGCAGCAGUAGGGAAUCUUCCGCAAUGGGCGAAAGCCUGACGGAGCAACGCCGCGUGAGUGAUGAAGGUCUUCGGAUCGUAAAACUCUGUUAUUAGGGAAAAACAAAUGUGUAAGUAACUAUGCACGGCUUGACGGUACCUAAUCAGGAAGCCACGGCUAACUACGUG